AGGUGCCCUUCGGGAGCCCGAAGCAGGUGCUGCAUGGUUGUCGUCAGCUCGUGUCGUGAGAUGUUGGGUUAAGUCCCGCAACGAGCGCAACCCCUAUUGUUAGUUGCCAUCAUUCAGUUGGGCACUCUAGCGAGACUGCCGGUAAUAAACCGGAGGAAGGUGGGGAUGACGUCGAAUCAUCAUGCCCCUUAUGACCUGGGCUACACACGUGCUACAAUGGUUGGUACAACGAGUUGCGAGUCGGUGACGGCGAGCUAGUCUCUUAAAGCCAAUCUCAGUUCGGAUUGUAGGCUGCAACUCGCCUACAUGAAGUCGGAAUCGCUAGUAAUCGCGGAUCAGCACGCCGCGGUGAAUACGUUCCCGGGCCUU
Molecule: ribosomal RNA, 369 nt
Filed under: uncultured Streptococcus sp.
Lineage: Bacteria; Bacillati; Bacillota; Bacilli; Lactobacillales; Streptococcaceae
Description: bacterial SSU rRNA
Rfam family: Bacterial small subunit ribosomal RNA
Source: RNAcentral